CCUACGGGCGGCAGCAGUGAGGAAUAUUGGUCAAUGGACGAGAGUCUGAACCAGCCAAGUAGCGUGAAGGAUGACUGCCCUAUGGGUUGUAAACUUCUUUUAUAUGGGACUAAAAUGUUCCACGUUUGGGAUUUUGUAUGUCCCAUAUGAAUAAGGAUCGGCUAACUCCGUGCCAGCAGCCGCGGUAUUCCGGAGGAUCCGAGCGUUAUCCGGAUUUAUUGGGUUUAAAGGGAGCGUAGGUGGAUUGUUAAGUCAGUUGUGAAAGUUUGCGGCUCAACCGUAAAAUUGCAGUUGAAACUGGCAGUCUUGAGUACAGUAGAGGUGGGCGGAAUUCGUGGUGUAGCGGUGAAAUGCUUAGAUAUCACGAAGAACUCCGAUUGCGAAGGCAGUUCACUGGACUGCAACUGACACUGAGGCUCGAAAGUGUGGGUAUCAAACAGGAUUAGAUACCCCUGUAGUC
This 460-nucleotide ribosomal RNA is filed under the name uncultured bacterium. Its description in RNAcentral is "partial 16S ribosomal RNA". It matches the Rfam family "Bacterial small subunit ribosomal RNA", at positions 338 to 795 of the family's 1533-position model. The record is from RNAcentral.